This 1736-nucleotide long non-coding RNA is filed under the name Homo sapiens (human). Its description in RNAcentral is "long independently transcribed non-coding RNA 1961, transcript variant 2 (LINC01961)". Lineage: Eukaryota; Metazoa; Chordata; Mammalia; Primates; Hominidae. The record is from RNAcentral.
AGUCUCCGCCUCGCGAGGUACCUCCCCACCUUGCGAUCGGGGUCCCAAGAGCCAGGGGGGAAGAGGGGCUGGCUCUCUUUGUGGAUGAUUCUUUUUCCAUUCUCAGGCAGUUUUCUUUUUUCUUUCUUUUUUUUUUUUUGGAGGCUGAGUCUUGCUCUGUUGCCCAUGCUUUGCUGGAUCUCGGGUGACUGCAACCACUGCCUCCCAGGUUCAAGAGAUUCUCCUGCCUCAGCCUCCUGAGUAGCUGGGACUAGAGGCGUGUGUCACCACACCCAGCUAAGUUUUGUAUUUUUAGUAGAGAUGGGGUUUCACCAUGUUUGCCAGGAUGGUCUCUAUCUCCUGACCUUGUGAUCCACCCACCUCAGCCUCCCAAAGUGCUGGGAUUGCAGGUGGGAGCCACCGGGUCCAGCCUCUCCGGCGAUUUUCAUACCUGCAUACUCUGAUCACUACUCUGUUAAACAGUCAAGGAGGGUAAGUAUUAUCUUCAGAUUUCCAGAGCUCUGUCUCUGUACAGCCCUCUCCUCCUCAAUAUUCUGCCCUAUGAAUUCUAGCCACAUUGGCCUUCCCAGACUCACAGUUCUGUCUUCUCAACUCAGGAAGAUCUCUGAGCUCCAUCUGCAUUCUUUCUUCCUGUGCUGUGGCCUGGAAAGUUUUCUAAGGUGUUUGGGAGGUCAAUUGUGGGGCUAGCCUCAUUUGUUUCUCAUCUCUUGAGGAUCACUGCCCUUUGAUGCUUGAUUCCAGUGAUUGAUUCCCUUUGUUGCUUGAGGGCCAUAGUUUCAUAUAUUUUGUCCAGUAUUUUUGUUGUUUUAGGUCAGAAAGUAAUUUUGGUCUCUGUUACUCCAUCUUGGCCAGAAGUGUAAGACCUAAGCAUUUACACAUCAAAAUACUGCACACAUAAUUUUAGUUUAAGCUACCUUUAAAAAAAUCUGCUUCAUUUUCCAUUAAGCAUUCUAUUUAGGGUAUUACAUUGGUUUUUUUGAAAUUCUGUUAUUGGCAGUUUCUAUUGCCUAUCAAUCCCAUUUAAAGAUAGUGCAUAGGGUAUUCUAAAAUAGCUGUUAAGCAAAGAGAAAAUUGGGCCUGAUAGGGUGAGAAUCACAGCUCUAAUACCUAGAGUGACCUUAUAAUGUAUUGUCCAAAGGAGAUAUUUUUGACAGUGAAAGAGGGUGUUGUUAGUAAUUAUAUCAGGACCAUGGCCUAAACCAGGACUAUCCCAGGCAGCCUGGGACAUAUUUGUACCCCAUCUCUAUUUAAUGCCUUUAUACAAUUCUUUACUUAAUUCUACCAGCCUUUAUUGAGCCUGCUUUCUUUGUCUAGCUGAGUGCCACGUGCUGACGUCACUAAGAUCAAUACAGCAAACUCUGAAAGAUGGACAGAGAGACAGGAGAUGGUCCUUUAUAAUGCAGUGUGAUCUGUGCUGCAAUAGAGUUUUGGAAGCUAGAAGUUCAAAACGAGGUGUUGGCAGCACCAUGCUCUCUCUGAAGAUGCUAGGAAGAAUCUGCUCCAUGCCUUUCCAUUCGCUCCUGGGGUUUCCUGCAAGCCCUGACAUUCCUUGGCUUGUAGAUACACCACCCCAGUUUCCGCCCCCAUCAUCACAUGGCCUCCUCUCUGUGGGUGCCUCUGCGUUCCCUCUAUUCUUCUUCUAAGGACACCGACACCAGUCAUAGUGGAUUAAGGGUCCACUCCUAACUAAUUACAUCUGCAACCACCCUAUUUCCAAAUAAAGUCACAUUCUAAGA